GCCAGACUCCUACGGGAGGCAGCAGUGGGGAAUAUUGCACAAUGGGGGAAACCCUGAUGCAGCGACGCCGCGUGAGUGAAGAAGUAUUUCGGUAUGUAAAGCUCUAUCAGCAGGAACGAGACAAGACGGUACCUGACUAAGAAGCCCCGGCUAACUACGUGCCAGCAGCCGCGGUAAUACGUAGGGGGCAAGCGUUAUCCGGAAUCACUGGGUGUAAAGGGGGCGCAGACGGCAGCGCAAGCCAGGAGUGAAAGCCCGGGGCCCAACCCCGGGACUGCUCUUGGAACUGCGCGGCUGGAGUGCAGGAGGGGCAGGCGGAAUUCCUGGUGUAGCGGUGAAAUGCGUAGAUAUCAGGAGGAACACCGGUGGCGAAGGCGGCCUGCUGGACUGCGACUGACGUUGAGGCCCGAAAGCGUGGGGAGCAAACAGGAUUAGAUACCCGAGUAUC
Molecule: ribosomal RNA, 448 nt
Filed under: uncultured bacterium
Lineage: Bacteria
Description: partial 16S ribosomal RNA
Rfam family: Bacterial small subunit ribosomal RNA
Source: RNAcentral